This 252-nucleotide long non-coding RNA is filed under the name Physcomitrium patens. RNAcentral's name for it is "long non-coding RNA (PPAT_LNC000283)". The record is from RNAcentral. Lineage: Eukaryota; Viridiplantae; Streptophyta; Bryopsida; Funariales; Funariaceae.
GAGAAGUCGACAUAUUGAAGUUGUUUAGGGUUUCUAUAAUAUCUAGAGAUCUAUCAGCUAGAAUAAGGUGAAUUUUGACGUAAUAAGUUGAGGACUUAAAGGCGGAGUUGCACACGAGGUUUGAAUGAGAAUUAAUGGUUGAAGAAGGAGAAAUUGCAAGUCAAGAUUUUUCAUCAACUUUUUAGGCGGCAGUCAAGGUACAUCAGUGUAGAUUUACAACGUUUUCUUGCAAUCUGUAAGUUAGAUUGGAUU